CCUACGGGUGGCUGCAGUGGGGGAUAUUGCACAAUGGGGGGAACCCUGAUGCAGCGACGCCGCGUGGGUGAAGAAGCGCCUCGGCGCGUAAAGCCCUGUCAGCAGGGAAGAAAAUGACGGUACUUGAAGAAAAAGCAUCGGCUAACUCCGUGCCAGCAGCCGCGGUAAUACGGAGGAUGCGAGCGUUAUCCGGAUUUAUUGGGUUUAAAGGGUGCGUAGGCGGGCUGUUAAGUCAGCGGUAAAAGCCCGGGGCUCAACCCCGGCGAGCCGUUGAAACUGGCUGUCUUGAGAUGUCGAGAGGUAUGCGGAAUGCGCAGUGUAGCGGUGAAAUGCUUAGAUAUUGCGCAGAACUCCGAUUGCGAAGGCAGCAUACCGGCGGCGAUCUGACGCUGAGGCACGAAAGCGUGGGUAUCGAACAGGAUUAGAUACCCUAGUAGUC
This 439-nucleotide ribosomal RNA is filed under the name uncultured bacterium. RNAcentral's name for it is "partial 16S ribosomal RNA". It matches the Rfam family "Bacterial small subunit ribosomal RNA", at positions 338 to 795 of the family's 1533-position model. The record is from RNAcentral.